GACGAACGCUGGCGGCGUGCUUAACACAUGCAAGUCGAACGAAGAGCGAUGGAAGCUUGCUUCUAUCAAUCUUAGUGGCGAACGGGUGAGUAACGCGUAAUCAACCUGCCCUUCAGAGGGGGACAACAGUUGGAAACGACUGCUAAUACCGCAUACGAUCUAAUCUCGGCAUCGAGGAUAGAUGAAAGGUGGCCUCUACAUGUAAGCUAUCACUGAAGGAGGGGAUUGCGUCUGAUUAGCUAGUUGGAGGGGUAACGGCCAACCAAGGCGAUGAUCAGUAGCCGGUCUGAGAGGAUGAACGGCCACAUUGGGACUGAGACACGGCCCAGACUCCUACGGGAGGCAGCAGUGGGGAAUCUUCCGCAAUGGACGAAAGUCUGACGGAGCAACGCCGCGUGAGCGAUGACGGCCUUCGGGUUGUAAAGCUCUGUUAAUCGGGACGAAAGGCCUUCUUGCGAAUAGUGAGAAGGAUUGACGGUACCGGAAUAGAAAGCCACGGCUAACUACGUG
This 510-nucleotide ribosomal RNA is filed under the name uncultured bacterium. RNAcentral describes it as "partial 16S ribosomal RNA". It matches the Rfam family "Bacterial small subunit ribosomal RNA", at positions 28 to 507 of the family's 1533-position model. The record is from RNAcentral.